This 453-nucleotide ribosomal RNA is filed under the name uncultured bacterium. Its description in RNAcentral is "bacterial SSU rRNA". It matches the Rfam family "Bacterial small subunit ribosomal RNA", at positions 364 to 832 of the family's 1533-position model. The record is from RNAcentral.
UUCGCAAUGCCCGAAAGGGUGAACGAGCGACGCCGCGUGCGGGAUGAAGGCCUUCGGGUUGUAAACCGCUUUUGCAAGGGAAAAACUUAAUGAUGGUACCUUGCGAAUAAGAGGUUACUAACUCUGUGCCAGCAGUAGCGGUAAUACAGAGACCUCAAGCGUUAUCCGGAUUUAUUGGGCGUAAAGCGCGGGUAGGCGGAUGUAUUAGUCAGAUGUCAAAUCCUCGAGCUCAACUCGAGAACUGCAUUUGAAACGGUAUAUCUUGAGAGUGUGAGAGACCAGUGGAACUUCCGGUGGAGCGGUGAAAUGCGUUGAGAUCGGAAGGAACGCCCGUGGCGAAAGCGAGGUCCUGGACGUCUGCUGACGCUGAGACGCGAAAGCUAGGGGAGCAAACGGGAUUAGAUACCCCGGUAGUCCUAGCCGUAAACGAUGGGCACUAAGUAGAGGGGUUUU